This 696-nucleotide ribosomal RNA is filed under the name uncultured bacterium. Its description in RNAcentral is "bacterial SSU rRNA". It matches the Rfam family "Bacterial small subunit ribosomal RNA", at positions 9 to 692 of the family's 1533-position model. The record is from RNAcentral.
UAGUUUGAUCCUGGCUCAGGACGAACGCUGACGGUGUGCUUUAGACAUGCAAGUCGAACGAGAAAGCCCUUCGGGGUGAGUAAAGUGGCGAACGGGUGCGUAACACGUGGGUAAUCUACCCCUCGCAGAGGGACAACCGGGGGAAACCCCGGCUAAUACCUCGUACGCUCUACAAACCGCAUGGUAAGUAGAGGAAAGGUAGCUUCGGCCAUCCGGCGAGGGAUGAGCCCGCGGUACAUUAGCUAGUUGGUGAGGUAACGGCUCACCAAGGCUACGAUGUAUAGCUGGUCUGAGAGGAUGAUCAGCCACACUGGGACUGAGACACGGCCCAGACUCCUACGGGAGGCAGCAGUCGGGAAUCUUGCACAAUGGGCGAAAGCCUGAUGCAGCAACACCGUGUGAGCGAUGAAGGCCUUCGGGUCGUAAAGCUCUGUUGUUAGGGACGAAGGGCGAAGGGUUAAUAGCCCCUAGCUUGACGGUACCUUUCGAGGAAGCCCCGGCUAACUACGUGCCAGCAGCCGCGGUAAUACGUAGGGGGCGAGCGUUGUCCGGAAUUAUUGGGCGUAAAGAGCGUGUAGGCGGCCAGAUAAGUCUGCUGUGAAACCUUGGGGCUCAACCCCAAGCGUGCAGCGGAUACUGCCGAGCUCGAGUCCGGAAGAGGCGAGUGGAAUUCCUGGUGUAGCGGUGAGAUGCGCA